RNAcentral lists this ribosomal RNA (708 nucleotides) under Triticum aestivum (bread wheat). RNAcentral describes it as "partial small subunit ribosomal RNA". Lineage: Eukaryota; Viridiplantae; Streptophyta; Magnoliopsida; Poales; Poaceae. The record is from RNAcentral.
AUGGGAGUCACGCUUGACAGGGCGACAAGCGCCUCCUCCGGCGGCGGCGUCGACUUCUACAUCAAGCCCAUGGCGGCCGGGUCUCACCUGUUCCAGAUCGACGGCUACUCAAUCGCUAAACGCGCAGCCAACGGCUUUAGCUUCAAGUCCUGCCCUUUCAUGGUGGGAGGCUACCGCUGGGCACUCUACCUCUAUCCAAACGGCGACAGGCCGGACAGCGCCGGCUUCAUCUCCGUCUUCCUCCUCCUCGACGACUACGAGCACGUUGAAAGGCCGGCGAGGCUGCAGCUCGAGCUUCGCUUCAUCGACGAGGCCGACAAGCGGCAGGAUCCCACGCCCGCCCGCACGAGCCAGGUGAUCGAUCUACGCAGCUUCUGCGGCGUGGGCUACCGCAGGUUCAUCGCACGGGAGGCCAUGGAGAACUCGAAGCAUCUCAAGGGUGACCGCUUCACGAUCCGGUGCGACUUGGUCUUCCUGAAGCUCGUCGUCAUCCCGGAGAACGUUCAUGCCAGCGGACACAGGAAAUGUGUGGCGUGCAACCUCCGGGUGGUGACGCUGGCGUGGAUGCCCCUCCUGCAUGCGUGUUUCUGCGUCGCCUGCAAAGACGCUAGCCGCAUGGACGCAACGGCGAAACAGUGCGCGAGCUGCCAUGGGCCCUUUCAAGGGAUCUUCCUGCAUCCAGGGGUGCCUCCCCUUUCUUCUUCUUGA